AAUGUCGUAACAAGGUUUCCGUAGGUCAACCGGCAGGAAGGCCAAUUUCACCAAAUAAAGGGCGUGUAGGAAGUGGGGUUUGUCUGUAAGUGGUAGAGCGAACAGUCCGGCUGCCUCCCGAAACUGUCUUACAUGUCCCCCACAGCCUGAAGGCCGAAUUACAACCCUUGAUUAUCUACACUUGUUGCUUUGGGGUGCUCAAGUGCCCCAGAGGACCCAACUCUCUUGCAUUUAGUGACGUCUGAGUACUAUAUAAUAUUUAAAAAG
Molecule: unclassified non-coding RNA, 267 nt
Filed under: plant metagenome
Description: partial contains small subunit ribosomal RNA and internal transcribed spacer 1
Source: RNAcentral